AAAAAAAUGAUCAAGUAAGAAAGGGCGUACGGUGGAUGCCUAGGCACAUGGAGCUGAAGAAGGACGCAUCAAACGGCGAAACGCUGCGGGGAGCUGUAAGAAAGCAAAGAUCCGCAGAUAUCCGAAUGGAGGAAUCCGGCACACGUAAUAGUGUGUCAUCAUGAGGGCGAAUACAUAACCCUAUGAGAGCAACCCGGGGAACUGAAACAUCUAAGUACCCGGAGGAAAAGAAAACAAAAGUGAUUCCCUGAGUAGCGGCGAGCGAAAGGGGAGGAGCCCAAACCAGUUCUUGAACUGGGGUUGUAGGACCGCAAUAGAAGCAAGAGCGAGGAUAGUGGAACGGCAUCGAAAGGCCGGCCGAAGAGGGUGCAAGCCCCGUACAUGAAAUCCGAGUGAAGCGAAGCGGGAUCCUGAGUACGGCGAGACACGAGAAAUCUAGUCGGAAGCAGGCGGGACCAUCCGUCAAGGCUAAAUACUCCCAUGUGACCGAUAGUGAACCAGUACCGUGAGGGAAAGGUGAAAAGAACCGCGGGAGCGGAGUGAAAGAGAACCUGAAACCGUAUGCUUACAAGAAGUCAGAGCCCGUUAAAGGGUGAUGGCGUGCCUUUUGUAGAAUGAACCGGCGAGUUGCGAAUACGUGCGAGGUUAAGUAGAAGAUACGGAGCCGAAGCGAAAGCGAGUCUUAAGAGGGCGAAAGUACGUGAACGCAGACCCGAAACCGUGUGAUCUAGCCAUGACCAGGUUGAAGUUGAGGUGAAACUCAAUGGAGGACCGAACCGACUACCGUUGAAAAGUUAGCGGAUGAGUUGUGGCUAGGGGAGAAAUUCCAAUCGAACACGGAGAUAGCUGGUUCUCCCCGAAAUAGCUUUAGGGCUAGCGUCGAGGAAGAGCCUUGUGGAGGUAGAGCACUGAAUGUACGAUGGCCCCAUCCCGGGGUACUGAGUAUAAUCAAACUCCGAAUGCCAUAAGGUAUACUCGGCAGUCAGACUGUGGGUGAUAAGGUCCAUGGUCAAGAGGGAAACAGCCCAGACCGCCAGUUAAGGUCCCAAAAUACAUGCUAAGUGGAAAAGGAUGUGGGGAUGCACAGACAACUAGGAGGUUGGCUCAGAAGCAGCCAUCCUUGAAAGAGUGCGUAACAGCUCACUAGUCGAGUGACCCUGCGCCGAAAAUGUACCGGGGCUAAGCAUGAUACCGAAGCUGCGGAUUAUCAGCAAUGAUAGUGGUAGGGGAGCGUUCCAUGCAGGUAGAAGCCAUACCGUAAGGAGUGGUGGACAGUAUGGAAGUGAGAAUGCCGGUGUGAGUAGCGAGAUGUAGGUGAGAAUCCUACACACCGAUAGCCCAAGGAUUCCAGGGGAAGGUUCGUCCGCCCUGGGUAAGUCGGGACCUAAGGCGAGGCCGAAAGGCGUAGUCGAUGGAAAACAGGCAGAUAUUCCUGUACCCGCGGUAGGAAUGAAGGAAUGACGGAGAAGGCUAGUCUGACCCACUGAAUGGAUUGUGGGCGAAGCAGAGCAGCCGGUGUAAAGUGAAAUGCGUACACGGAAGGCAGACUGUGACAGGUAAGCGAAAGCCCUCGGGCGAGUAGUGAAGCAGAUGAAGUCAGCUUCCAAGAAAAGUUUCUAGUGAUAAUCCUACAGCGGCCCGUACCAAAACCGACACAGGUGGGCAAGGAGAGUAUCCUGAGGUGAGCGAGAGAACUGUUGCCAAGGAACUCGGCAAAAUGACUCCGUAAGUUAGCGAGAAGGAGUGCACAGCAAUGUGCCGCAGUGAAGAGGCCCAAGCGACUGUUUAACUAAAACACAGCUCUCUGCGAAGUCGCAAGACGAAGUAUAGGGGGUGACGCCUGCCCGGUGCUGGAAGGUUAAGAGGAACUGUUAUCCGAAAGGAGAAGCAGCGAAUUGAAGCCCCAGUGAACGGCGGCCGUAACUAUAACGGUCCUAAGGUAGCGAAAUUCCUUGUCAGGUAAGUUCUGACCCGCACGAAAGGCGUAACGAUUUGGGCGCUGUCUCGGCAGCAGACUCGGUGAAAUCUUAGUACCUGUGAAAAUGCAGGUUACCCGCAACUAGACGGAAAGACCCCAUGGAGCUUUACUGCAGCCUGAUAUUGAGAUUUGAUCAAUGAUGUACAGGAUAGGUGGGAGACGAAGAGCUCGGCACGUCAGUGUCGAAGGAGUCGGUGUUGGGAUACCACCCUUGAUUGAUUGAAUUUCUAACCUGCUACCAUGAAGCUGGUAGAGGGAGAGUGUCAGGUGGGCAGUUUGACUGGGGCGGUCGCCUCCUAAAGAGUAACGGAGGCGCCCAAAGGUACCCUCAGAUUGGAUGGAAAUCAAUCGACGAGUGCAAAUGCAGAAGGGUGCUUGACUGUGAGACAAACAAGUCGAACAGGGACGAAAGUCGGGAUUAGUGAUCCGGCGGUGCCGAAUGGAAGGGCCGUCGCUCAACGGAUAAAAGCUACCCUGGGGAUAACAGGCUGAUCUCGCCCAAGAGUUCACAUCGACGGCGAGGUUUGGCACCUCGAUGUCGGCUCAUCGCAUCCUGGAGCUGAAUUCGGUUCCAAGGGUUGGGCUGUCCGCCCAUUAAAGCGGUACGCGAGCUGGGUUCAGAACGUCGUGAGACAGUUCGGUCCCUAUCUGUUGUGGGCGAAGGAAAUUUGAGGAGAGCUGUCCUUAGUACGAGAGGACCGGGAUGGACCUACCGCUGGUGCACCAGUUGUACUGCCAAGUGCAUAGCUGGGUAGCCAAGUAGGGAACGGAUAAGCGCUGAAAGCAUCUAAGCGCGAAACCGACUCCAAGAUGAGAUUUCCCAUUCGAAAGAAGUAAGACCCCUUGAAGACGACGAGGUAGAUAGGUCAGAGAUGGAAGCAUAGCGAUAUGUGGAGUUGACUGAUACUAAUCGGUCGAGGACUUGAUCACAA
RNAcentral lists this ribosomal RNA (2910 nucleotides) under Copranaerobaculum intestinale. RNAcentral's name for it is "Clostridiaceae bacterium DONG20-135 23S ribosomal RNA". It matches the Rfam family "Bacterial large subunit ribosomal RNA". Lineage: Bacteria; Bacillati; Bacillota; Erysipelotrichia; Erysipelotrichales; Erysipelotrichaceae. The record is from RNAcentral.